Molecule: ribosomal RNA, 656 nt
Filed under: Diphyes chamissonis
Lineage: Eukaryota; Metazoa; Cnidaria; Hydrozoa; Siphonophorae; Diphyidae
Description: partial large subunit ribosomal RNA
Rfam family: Bacterial large subunit ribosomal RNA
Source: RNAcentral
CAAAAACAUAGCCAAGUUCAAGUUUACUAGGUGAUACCUGCUCAGUGGUCAAUAAUUAAAUUAACUUAAAAGUUAAAAAUUUGACUAAACAGCUGCCUUAAUCCUAGAGGGUACUAAGUAAGCAUAAUCUGAUGCCGUUUGAUUGGCGGAGAGUUGAAUGGAUUAACGAGUGCAUACCUGUCUUAUCAAAAGAAAAAUUUAAUUAGACAUUUAAGUGAAGAGGCUUAAAAUAAUAGAAAGACGAGAAGACCCCGUGAAGCUUUACUAUAAACUAACUUUAUAAUUUUUUUUUCUUUAUCUUUUUUUUAUUAAAUUAGCCAAUUUUGUUUAUUAUUAGUAGUUAGUUUGGUAGUUUGGGUGGGGCGCCCGCACUUUAAUAAAAACAAGUAGUUGAUAACAUAAUUAUUAAGACUAUAUAAAUUACUUUUUUAUUUAGGGUUAUUUUACUAUCAAAAACCCUUACUAUUUAAAUAAUAGUAGGUCAUAGAAUAAUAGCUACUCCGGGGAUAACAGGGUAAUUAAAUUUUACAGUAGUUAUGUGAUAUUUUGUUUGCCACCUCGAUGUUGAAUUGGCUUAUCCUAGCGGAGAAGAAGCUGCUAAGGGUGGGACUGUUCGUCCCUUAAAAAGCUACAUGAUUUGAGUUCAUUCCGUAAAG